ACAUAUUUUAGUGCUAUGUUCAAUUUGGAAAAAGUACCUAACUUACUUUUAAGUCUAGAAUAUAUAAAAUUUAAUCAACUAUAAAGAAUCAUUUAAAUGAAAUGCACCCAUGGAGAACUCUCGUAUAAACAGCACCUUGAUCUAAUUUUUUUUUCAAAAAAUUAAGAUAAUUUUUUGUCAAAAAUUUCUUGAAAUGACGAUAUACAAAUUUAAAAUAACGAGAGAAAGAUUUUCUCGUGGAAUAUCGAUUACAACACAGGUUUCCCUAAAGAGAUGUAAAAUACCGUCAAAUUUUUUGGGUUUCG
This 305-nucleotide ribosomal RNA is filed under the name Parabathynellidae sp. (Pilbara) 6 EM-2019. RNAcentral's name for it is "partial small subunit ribosomal RNA". The record is from RNAcentral. Lineage: Eukaryota; Metazoa; Arthropoda; Malacostraca; Bathynellacea; Parabathynellidae.